ACCCGCUGAACUUAAGCAUAUCAAUAAGCGGAGGAAAAGAAACUAACAAGGAUUCCCCUAGUAACUGCGAGUGAAGCGGGAAAAGCUCAAAUUUAAAAUCUGGCUGCCUCCGGUGGUCCGAGUUGUAAUCUGGAGAAGCGUUUUCCGCGUCGGACCGUGUACAAGUCUUCUGGAACGGAGCGUCAUAGAGGGUGAGAAUCCCGUCUCUGACACGGACUACCGAUGCUUUUGUGAUGCGCUCUCGAAGAGUCGAGUUGUUUGGGAAUGCAGCUCAAAAUGGGAGGUAAAUUCCUUCUAAAGCUAAAUAUUGGCUAGAGACCGAUAGCGAACAAGUACCGUGAGGGAAAGAUGAAAAGCACUUUGGAAAGAGAGUUAAACAGUACGUGAAAUUGUUGAAAGGGAAACGCUUGAAGUCAGUCGCGUUGUCCGAGACUCAGCCUGGCUUGCCUGGUGUACUUCUCGGUUGACGGGUCAGCAUCAGUUUUGACCGCCGGAUAAAGGUUGGAGGAAUGUGGCAUCCCUCGGGUUGUGUUAUAGCCUCUGAUUCGCAUACGGCGAUUGGGACUGAGGAACUCAGCACGCCUUUAUGGUCGGGGUUCGCCCACGUAACGUGCUUAGGAUGCUGGCAUAAUGGCUUUAAGCGACCCGUCUUGAAACACGG
This 661-nucleotide ribosomal RNA is filed under the name uncultured fungus. RNAcentral's name for it is "eukaryotic LSU rRNA". It matches the Rfam family "Eukaryotic large subunit ribosomal RNA", at positions 23 to 664 of the family's 3401-position model. The record is from RNAcentral. Lineage: Eukaryota; Fungi.